AUUGAACGCUGGCGGCAGGCCUAACACAUGCAAGUCGAACGAGCGGCGGACGGGUGAGUAAUGUAUGGGAAACUGCCUGAUGGAGGGGGAUAACUACUGGAAACGGUAGCUAAUACCGCAUACCAUCAGCUGAGCCCAGAUGGGAUUAGCUAGUUGGUGGGGUAACGGCUGACAUAGGGGACGAUCCCUAGCUGGUCUGAGAGGAUGAACAGCCACACUGGGACUGAGACACGGUCCAGACUCCUACGUGAGGCAGCAGUGGGGAAUAUUGCACAAUGGGCGAAAGCCUGAUGCAGCCAGGCCGCGUGUAUGAAGAAGGCCGUCGGGUUGUAAAGUACUUUCAGCGGGGAGGCGUUACCCGCAGAAGAAGCACCGGCUAACUCCGGGCCAGCAGCCGCGGUAAUUC
Molecule: ribosomal RNA, 406 nt
Filed under: uncultured bacterium
Lineage: Bacteria
Description: partial 16S ribosomal RNA
Rfam family: Bacterial small subunit ribosomal RNA
Source: RNAcentral